ACGAACGUUGGCGGUGUGCCUAAUACAUGCAAGUCGCGCGAGAAAGCCGGGGCAACUCGGCGAGUACAGCGGCGGAAGGGUGCGUACUACAUGGAUAACGUACCCUCCAGUGGGGGAUAACCCACCGAAAGGUGGGCUAAUACCGCAUAAUGGCGCGAGGUGGCAUCAUCUUGCGCUUAACGCAGCAAUGCGCUGGGGGAGCGGUCCAUGGCCUAUCAGCUAGUUGGCGGGGUAACGGCCCACCAAGGCGAUGACGGGUAGCCGGACUGAGAGGUUGAACGGCCACACUGGGACUGAGACACGGCCCAGACAUCUACGGAUGGCAGCAGUAGGGAAUCUUGCGCAAUGGGCGAAAGCCUGACGCAGCGACACCGCGUGGGGGACGAAGGGCUUCGGCUUGUAAACCCCUUUCAUGAGGGAAGAACACUGACCUAACCUCAGGAAGAAGCACCGGCUAACUCCGU
RNAcentral lists this ribosomal RNA (464 nucleotides) under uncultured bacterium. RNAcentral's name for it is "bacterial SSU rRNA". It matches the Rfam family "Bacterial small subunit ribosomal RNA", at positions 29 to 506 of the family's 1533-position model. The record is from RNAcentral.